Molecule: ribosomal RNA, 322 nt
Filed under: Cercomonas sp.
Lineage: Eukaryota; Cercozoa; Cercomonadida; Cercomonadidae
Description: SSU rRNA
Rfam family: Eukaryotic small subunit ribosomal RNA (bases 55-322)
Source: RNAcentral
GAUUUCUGGUACGGCGCGCUUGGCCCGCCAGGGUUACCUGGUUGUGUGCUGGUGCGCGCCUGCCAUCCUUUUGCAUAUCAGUUCUAUCCUUUACUGGUGUGAACUGGUGUGUAAAUCAUUUACUUUGAAAAAAUUAGAGUGUUUAAAGCAGGCUUGCGCUAUGAAUACAUUAGCAUGGAAUAAUAAUUUAGGACUUUUGUUCCUGUUUUGUUGGUUUAUUGGACGGAAGUAAUGAUUGAUAGGGAUAGUUGGGGGUGCUAGUAUUCAGCGGCCAGAGGUGAAAUUCUUGGAUUCGCUGAAGACUAACUUAUGCGAAAGCAUU